GCAGGACGGGGCCGGGCGCUCCUCGGGCUCCUCCCGAGCCCCAGCGGUGCCGGGUGCCGGGACGGCGCGCCUCGCUCCCUGGCGGCUGCAGCUAUUUUUAGCACCAGCCGCCGAAUCGCGGUGCUAUUUUUAGCUGUCGGCGGCUCCCACCUAGCAGAAGAGGAAGGCAUGGAAGCCUCUAAGAACGAAAUUGAGCACAGUGCUGGGGAUGCUGCUCUGACACACGGUGUUACCCUUAAUGCUGUUCUGAUUGGGUUGCUUCGACUUAGAGAAAGUCUCCGCUUGCAGUAGUAAGGUUGUAGCUUCAACACAAGCCAAAUGCUAAAUUACAGAUGCUGCAGGAUUCAGAAGAAAACUCGACACGUGUUUCAUGAUCUUUGGUCACCUCCUACUUGCUAUCAUAUCUUUGUGGAAUGGGAGAAAGCAGGUUUAGGCAUGUUCUGAAAAAAUCUGUAGUUUUGACAGGAUAGAUUCUGUGAUGGUGUAUUGAGUAAAUCCCUCUUAGUUUGUGGAUUAUUGGUCUGACAGGCAGGAACUUCCUCAGAUUCAUUCUGCUUUAUCACGUCAGGCCAGCUGCUGUGCACGUGUACCAGAUCUGUGCACUCAAAGCCCCAUGUAUCUUUCACUGAAAGAAGAUGGGAGUACGUGAAGGGAGCUGUGUUGUUAAUGAAAGCAGGAUUUCACUCCAUGACAACCGAGAUACUGGUUUUACUUUUUUGUCGUCGUGACUGGCUGCCAGAUUAUUUGGUAGCUGGUGGUUUAAAAAUCAUCUGUGGGGGAACUUGAUCCUUGGCUUUGCAACGAGCUAUCACAAUGAAGUUGGCACACAACUUUCUAAGGCUAAACCAGGUAAUUCAAGUAGAUUGUGCACUUCUCUUUCAUUCAGCUGAAAUACAGGAGCACCAGAACACAAGAACAGAAUGAAGGCAAACUGAUUUUUUUCUCCCCUGUGGUUGCCAUUGAUUUAAAUUCCAAAAGCUGUAUCUUCUUACUUUCAUUGACAGCAACUGCUCUCUCUAAAGCUGAUAGGGCUACACUGUGUGAUACUCAUUAUGAGAAGGGAAUCAGAUGCCAGUAGGUCAAGUCAGCAUUUGACUACCUUCGUUUCUUGAGAUUUUCUGAUGAAGGGAGAAACGGUAGAGUUACCCACAUCACUGGGGUUAUUCCAGGAUUGGGGGAGGAGGAGGGAGGAGGGGGGGGGUAAUGGGUAAUAUUCUCCUCCCCCUUAAUAAGUAUCAACUUCUCCUCCACUUUUGUGGGGAGUUUAUAACAGACAUUUCUGGUAACAAGUUUGAAAUAAAUGUGGUGCAUGAAAUAAAUCUGGAAACAUAACUGAAUCAUGGGGUUUUCUGUGUGUGCAUAUUCACUACUGUAGUUUUACGUGUAAUCCUUCUUGAAUCUUGACACAUGCUCACUUGUUCAUUCUUACUGCAUCUCUCAUUCUUGCCUUUUCUGUCACAGUGGCUGUCAUGAACUGCAGCAAUCUGGCAACAGUUUUCUCCUACAGCUAGGAGAAGAGCAGUCUUCUGAAUACAAAUUAUUUUAGACUGGAAUAUGAACUAGAUACUGUUCUGCACUCUGAAAUAAAUGAUUACUGAAAACAAGUAGAUGCUUAGAAUACGAUGGGAAAUUUGCAGUCUGUUUUAGGGUGGGAAAAAAAAAACAACAGUAAAAGUAACUUUGAAGUACCUGAUCAGGUAGGUUACAAGUCCUUUUCCUCGAGGGAAAGAGUCUUAAUAUGUGGAUAAAAUGAAACUUUGAAAAGAAAAUAAUAAGCCUCAAAAAUAUGUGCAAACUAUUUUUGUCUAAUCAGGCAAAAGCCUGUACCUGGGUGUAACUUGAUUUAUGUGAAUGCUGCUGCUAAUCUUGGCGUUGAAUUCAUAAGUGUUCACUCAGGUAAGUAAAUCUGUGACUAAGCACACCACUUUAGAAAACCCUGAACCCUGCUAGUAGGAAGAAGUGUCCUAAUUUUAAUAACACUAAUUCAGGGUAUUCAAGAAGAGAUUACAUUGAGAAAGUAUAAUCUAAUUUACACAUGCAAUUAACUUUUAACUUGCAAAUUAUAAAAACGAUUUUUUACAGAGCUAUAACAAUAAAGAAACUUUUGACUUUACAAACUUUACAAAAUCCUGUGUUAAUAAGUCUUGCUGGUACAUUUAUUGAGGAUAAAGAACUCAGGAUGAAAAUUCCACUGGAGAAAGGUCAGGGAGGAACAGAAGAUACCUCCUGAAGAAAAUCUCAUUGAAGACACUCUUCUUACUUUGCAAGAAAGGACUAACAGAAAUGAGGAUUAUUUAAUACUUUGUCAAAAAGGUGGAUUUGGUGGGGGAUUCAUCUUUGCAUCUCUAUUAUAAAAAAAAAAAGUUUGGAAGAUUUCUGCAAAUUGAACCUGUGGAUGUAUAUUUAAAAAAAUGCACUGGGAAAUAGUAGACUAGAAAAAACCUUCUCAACAAGUGGUAUAACCUUCUUGACAGUCAGAAGGUUAGUAAAAGACACUGAUCAAAGCAGAGAAGUCAGUAUCUCAAAGAAGUUUGUCUCAGCAAGCGAGGAGUUUCUGAUACAACAGACUCCUUCAUAGUCACAAGCAUGGCUUCAAUAGAUGCUCUUCUAGACAAAGAAGCUGAUGAUGCAACUGGUGAUCCUUGGACUUUUUGUGUCCUGAGAGAAAAUGGGUAGCCUGACAAGUAUUUGACUCGAGAUAAUAUACAGAAGAUCAAGUUGUAGCUCAAAUUCAGGGUUCUGAUGAAAACUGAGAUGCUGAUGGCAUUAUUUCAGACAUGAAUAACUUCAGGUAUUAAAAAUGGUAAGCUGACUGGGAGGGGAGAAAAUAUCUAGAGGAGACGCCAAACCCUGGCAAUUGUUGAACAGAAUGAAGUAUAAAAAUGCAGUUUAAAUAAAGCUGUUCCUCAGAGUGGUUUUGAUGAAUAAUUUACUGAAUCAAGAGUUUUCCAGAAAACUGCUUAAAUGGCACCAUCCUGUUAGUGACCAAAGACAGAGAUGAAUAUUUCAAAUAAUUAAUAUCCCAUUCUUACUAAUAUGUCUGUCAAAGCCAGCCACGUAUGCCUUCUGCAAGUUUCUGCUUUUGUAAGUUUUUCAUGGUAGUGCUUCUUCUGGUUUGCUGCUGCCAGUGCUUACAUACUGUACUGUUCUCUGGCCAUUUUUAGUUGUUUUUGAAGGGGAUGUCCUUCCUCUUCAUUAAGAUGGUUUUUCAUCUUUAAUCUCUUCAUUAGCCAUUUUGUUGUGUCUGCUUUUACUUAUUCCUUUAUUUCUUUUUCUAUUUGUUGCUUUCCUAUCCUGUUACUGAUAUUUCAAGUGUUUCUAUCCAAAGCCAUGAGCAGCAAGUCCAGUUUGUUGACAGAAGUGCUACUGAUGAUGGGCUUCCAAUGCUAAUGGGACAAUGUCCAACCUGUUUGUGUAAUAAGGUUGAUAGGGUGAUAACAAUGGCUGUGGUAGUGCUAUGCAUUACAGUCUAAUUCUGCAACCUGAGUAAAAAUUUUGGUACCCUUGCUGUUGAUAGUUUUUCUUCUCAUAACGGCGAGCUGCCUCAAAUUACACAUUAACUUUGCACUCCUAAGUAAUGAUCCCCAAAUUCUGUUUCAGGAAGAUGAGUGUUACUAAGAAUCCUUCAGGAUAACAGAACACAACUUUAAUGUUUGCUUAUUUAAUUAAAAGACAAACAAACAGAUAUUUAAUGUAUAGCUAAAAAUGCUUGACAUAAUAUGAAUACUGCUACUUGAAGUUCUUUCAAAAUCUUCUGAAGUCACAGAGGCAGCAUUACAGCUGAACAGGAUUAGUAAGGUUUCUCCCUUACUAUAGGUUCUUAUUAUCCCCUUUCCUCCAUUAGUUUUAAGGAUGGAUAUGACAUACCAAACCAACAUGUGCCUUAAAGCCUUGAAUUCAUAUGGUAAACAUGCUGCACGCUUUAACCUACUCUACAAGUAGAUCAGAAACUAAGAUAUAAACAGACUUGCUGUUUACAACUUUGUUAAAUAGUGACUUCUGUUCUUUCUAAAUGGUUUUGUAGUAAUAAAUGACCAAUAAAUGUACAAAGCUUCACGUCCUAUAGACUUCUUAAACAUUCAUUACUCUUAAAGACAAGGCAAACUUUCCUUGAAGAAACAUCUUCCACCAGAAGUAAAAUAUUCCAAACUCAUUUUAUUUUAUAAAUGACCUAACAAGGUACCAGGUCAUGCAGUAUUCUAAUGAUAGAAGAAUAGUUAUUACCUUAUUGACUUUGUUCCAGAUGGGGAGGAUAUGUAAUUGUUCCAUUUAGUUUAAUGGAAAUACCAUUCUACAUGAUCUACUUACAUUUCAGCAAAAACGUAGGAGCAAAAUAUAAGCUCUAGUUAUCACACUGACUUUGAUUUUUGAGGUGCAGAUGCAAGAUUCACAAAACUAACUGCUUCUCAGUUAGCUCCUGUGCUGGCAAAGGUCAUUUCCUCUCUUGUUGCUUGGUAAUGCGUGAGAGCAGUAACACUGCUUUUGUUAGUAGCCUGCUCCCGCUGAACUUGAGUGUCAGUUUAAUGUUACAGUGCAACAGUAAGUACUAUCAUAUUAUCUAGAUGAGACAGCAGAUUCUGUAGCCAUUGGCCAAAGUAAUGAAUGGGUAUGAAUACAAGAACCAGUUUUGAAAACUGGUAUCAAGUCACACAAUGGAGAACUUCCAAGCUAUGUCUUGUACAUGUUUGGGAGGAAAAGUCAAUGGAUGUUCUUGGAUGUUCUUCCAACAGUACGUCCCCCUGCCCCCCAGUGGCAGUAGCUAUGGAUUUCAUUUGAUGUAUACCUCUUCUUUAGCUUAAGUGAUGAGAAAUUUUUCUACUACUUAGUCUUACUGCUGAUGCUUAAGGACACAUUCCUCUCCCUGUCUGUGUUGGGAAGCAAAGAAGGGAUUUCAUUUUCAGCUGUGAGAGUAUUCAUAGCCCAGUACAAGUAUAGUAUGGACAGCUUCAUUUUAGAAAUAGCAAAAGAAAGGAAACACUUGGUGUGAGUUUCACUCUGUUUGCCACUUCUGUCAAGUAAUACAAAGCCAUUUGGGAAACGAAGAAUUACAACAUCUUUUUGUCCUCCUUCAUGCACUCUUAUAGUACUUUUUUUCUUGAGUAACAGAUCCAGACUCAUUUUCAAAGACUGGAUUUUACUAAAAAUUUGGAAGCUAUGUAUUAUGAAAAAUUGAUAUCUGCAUAAAUGUGAAUGAACUGGUAACUUGUAUUUUCAUUUUGGAUGAAGAACUAAUUACCUAUAAAUAAAAAAAAAAUCCUGUUUUUAUUAACAGCUUAUGUGUAUUUUGCAUUCAUAUGUGCUAUCUUAAUUUUAAUGUAAAUAAUGACUAAUAAGUAUUUCUCCAAUCAUCUCUGGCUAUGUAAUUCUGGUGUCUGCUUUCUACAGAGAACUUAUCUAACUUUCAGGUUCACAUCAUUUUAAUUUAUUUUACAAAACCAGGGUUCUUUCCUCAAAUUUCCAUUAUGGUAUAUUAAAUCUUCCAACCUUUUCUGAGUCUAGAUUAAUCAGUUCCCACUUGCAGUAAAGGAUUGAAAGGGACCUUCUGGAUGGAGUCCAAUUUCCAGGGGUACUAAACAUUCAUGCAAAUCCUUUCAGAAUCUGUCUUCACCUUAAGUUACAGCUAUUUCUUUAUUACAUUGUGAGAAUGGCAUUCUGAAUACCUAAAUGUAUUCUUUUGCAUUUUGUAUAAAUGUCUUACGUUUACUGAAUAUAUUAUGCAUACCAUUGCUUAGCAUCUCUCUAUUCUUUUAAUAAGGAGGGAGAAUUAAAAAUGUCUUAUCUUGGCUCUUGCUUGGGCUUUCUAACCCAAGUCAAAUAUCAAAUUCUUGGUCCUUUGGCAAAAUAACCUUUUCUCAAGUCUGAGUGAGCACUGCCUGAGGAGUGUGCCUCAUCUCUAGAAUAUGCCUUCCCUAAAAGCAAAAUCCUGGUUGUACUGUUAUCAAUUAGCAAGCCUCUUACUAAGGUCAGUGCUAGUCUCCUUUCACUUGUCUAGCUGCAACGCUUGCCCAAGGGUAAUUAGGCUGCUAUACUAUUGACAUUCUUAAACCUAAAGAGCUGUAAGCACUUUAACAUAAGAGAUAUCUUUAACUUCACUUUCUGUAGCUAACUUCAGACCAAAAAUCCAAAGAUUUAGGCUAUGUUUACUUCUGUCUUUCUCUGUGGUAAGCUGAAUACAUUUUAAAAUUCUGCUGUUACCCUGGAUGCUGCCUUUAGCCAUGGUCUGUAGUGAAGUCCUUUAUACAGAGAAAUCAUUAAAAGUUUUAAAAACUAUGGAGUCAGAAGAGGACUGCUGGUUCACCAAAUUCCUUGAAAUAAAGUUUAUUGCAGAUCAGGGCCAUUGUAUUGUAAGUGCCUGAUCUAUAUAUCUUGAGGUGGGUGCAUGAUGUAAACAAGUUAGAAUUUCACAUAUAGUUGGUAUGCAAGCUAUUAAGUCUGCAAAUUGGUACUUCAAGAACACACCUAGGAAUUAAACAAAAGACCAUCUAAUACCACAAUACUGUCCAUUCUAUUUCUUUUUCCAAUGAAUGGAUUUUUGUUAUUGAGAUCAAGGACAGUUUGUAUAUACUACAGUUGCCUAGUCAGAUCACAUCAUUUUAUCCUUGAUACUAUCUUUGUCCUCCACUUUCUAGGUACAGUUCCUUAUGACAUUAAUUAAGCAGAAUAAAUUUCAAUUUUUUUCACUAUAGUCUUAUUGUGCAGAUUAUCUGGUGGUUCUGUUGCCAGUUACAUCAUCAUUAUAUACAUUUACGAUAAUCCUUUAGAAAAGUAUCAGUAUGACUAUCUCUUACCACUAUCUUAUCAGCUUUCUUGAUUUUUUUAUUUUUUUUUUCUUGUCUACGGAUUCCUACUGUUGAGAACCUGUGUGGUGAAUUGUAAACACAUCUUAUUGUCCCUUCCUGAUGCUAUAGCAUGUUUCAGCACCUGUUGCUAAGAGUUUUUUUGGCAUUGGCUUUGUCUACUAUUGGGGAUAUACAUAACUACUUUUAUAUUAAAGCAUAUAUAAAUCCUACAGUUCCUUACCAUGCUGCACAAGAUAUUUGUAUAAAAGACUGUUUCAUUUUAUGGUAUACCUCAGCUUCAUAAAUUUACAUAGGAACAUCUUUGUAGAAACAUUUCCUCUAAUUAUUUGUGCAUUUUUAUAGAAGCUACAUUUCAUUCCCCUUCCCCCCCCCUUUUUUUUAUCUGCUGUAGCAUCCACUGACACAUUACAACUCAUAUUUUGCUUAUGAAUAUAUACACUCUGGAAAUAAGUAUCUCUAAUAUUUAGGAGAACAAUACUAAGCAUACCUUCCAAUAGGAAGGAAGGACAACAGUGUUUUCAGGUCUUUCCUUCACCUAGAUAGAGAUGAUGCAUAUAAAUGGUAUAAAGUAGAACAGCUUCAAUGUUUCUGUAAUUUAUGCUCACUGAAAUGACUCCCACAGCAUUUUUGUAUUGGUGAGUGUCAUCUGAACACAGCUUUCACUGGCAGGCUCAUUCUGUCUAUUCUCCAUUAAAGCAUUGAAGACUAUAGAUCUAGUAGUGGUUUCAGCCUGGCUAGCCACACCAGCUUUUCAUCUCCUCUGCAUACAGGUAAGUACUGAGAAGACAGCAGAACCAACUUUCUUUCUUAAAUACAAAUUUGUCCUAAAAAUUUUUGUUAAACAAGUGGAUUCAAAAUGCAGUCAGAUUUUCUUCCUCUUUCUUGCAGAAAUGGUUUUCAAACAUUGUUUUUAGCAAAUAAUUGGGCAUUUAUUUUGCACUUUCUCUUAGAAAUCUGUCAUUAUCCUAUCCCUGUUUUUUCCAGUUCUUUUCCUGAUUCUUUUUUCUCUUUCCCAUUCAGCAUACCCCACUACUGGGAAUUUCUGUGGUGCCUGAUAAGAUUGUCAGCUAUGAACACUUUGUUUAUUGCUGGAAACUUGCCUCAAUUCUCAUAGAUUUAUGAAAUAGUACUUGUCUUGUACAUUAACACCCUCUUCCAACAGCAUUUUGUGUCUGCCUAGCAUACCCACUUUUAUCCAACUAUUUUGGAUGUUCCAAGGAAUUUGUGCUGUUUCUGUUCAUCCUAUAUUUACACUUAAGAAUACUAGCAUUUCAAAAGCAAGUGCUGCUUUUGAAAUUACUCCUUGUAAUCUAGGAAAGAUUGAGUUGAGCAAAGCUUGCACUUUCAUCCUGUUUGCAGUGAUCAUUAUCUACCCUAUGCCCUGAAUAUAUGGCUAAAUCUGACAUGUGUAAGUGCAGGGAUGUGAGUGCAAAAAAAAAAUGAAGCAAAUAACCUAAGUCUAAUUAUCCCAAUAGAGACAGAAUUUGAAGUCUAUUGUUGUUGUUUUUGUAUAGGAGUACUCUUAUUUGUCACAAAAAAAUAUAUAUAUGUAUAUCAUUAUAAGCUGUUCUAGUUGGUUUUCCCUUUAAUUUUCUCAAUCAACAGUGACAGGACUUUGCUACCAGGCUGCCUAAGUAUGUGCUUCUUGUGAACAGAUAACAUCAUAGACUACCAUCAAAACAGUGAAUUGAUUCUAAGACCUGCUUAUAUUCAGAGUUCCAUGUUAUCUUCUGCACUCAUGUUUAUUUGGAAAGCUUUCUUGAUCAGAUUCAGAUUUCACAAAUAUCAGUCUCACCUGUUUCUGUAUUUUGUGUUGCUUGUGACAGUUUCUUGUGACAACUGGACAGAAUGCUUGUUUGUUUUACUCAAAAACAUUAAACUUGCUUGCCUUGCAAACAGAUCUCCAAAUCAUGAAUUUUCUCAUGUCAUUUUUUGGGGUCUACUUUCUUAAACAGGUUUUCUAAUGAAAUAAAUGGAAUUUCCAAUAGUAACACUGGGUGGCAGCUCCACCAUAUGUUUAAUUUAAGCUUAAACCCAUUCUGAAGAGGUAUUUAUUAAGGUUAUAUUAAGCAUUUAUUUUGUGGUAGCAUUUCUGCAUAUUCAUGUGACAAGUACAAAUAUUGCAUGUGACCAACUAUUUCUUGUGGAAACACUAAAAAAUUAACAAUUAUAGCAUGCGGGAAUGUUACUAGACAUAAAGAACUAUCUAAUGAUAACAUUGUAAUAAUUAUCUGUAAAUUAAGAGAAUAUUAUACUUUCUGUAUUCAGAAACUCUGAGGUGCUACCAAGGUAGGAAAAUCCAGAUGACACAAUAAGUAAGAUACACAGUAUAACUGGAAAAAUUAGACUAAGUCCUCUGACACCAGUGACUCAUACAGCCACCUACAGUCUGGGUCUAAACUGUCUUGCCUGAUACACUGUAAAUUCCUUUGAGUAAAUAAUAGUUCUGAAAUUUGUAUGUUUUAAAGGAGGUUAUGAAUCGUUACAAAAGUAAUUACAAAAGUAAUGAUUCAUUAGUAUGAUUCCAGAAUUAUGUUUUGGAUGCCCCGAGCCCUUCUAAGAAUUUCAGACACUGCACAAUUAGGUUUUUUCAGUGAUUGAUGCAUUUGUGUAGAGCAUGUGUAGUUUAGCAUAUUUGGGCUUAGUAUAAAGGAAACUUUUCAGCUUCACUGACUUUGUAGAACUGAGCAAGAAAAAGUCUUAAGAAUUUUCCUUAUUCUAGACUGUUGCUUCCACUAAGGACAUCUCACCUCACAUUUUUUGUUGGGUUUGUUGUUGUGUUAAAUUUAUUCACAUAUUAUGAAAUAUUCACAUAUAAUAUGGGAAGGAAUCAUAUAUAAUAUUCACAAUGUUAGACCACCUGAUAUGGGGGAGACCUGUUAUUUCUGUUAAAUGACUAUCUAAAAUAAUGCAGUUCUGUCCCUUUAUAUAUUGGUAAGUACAUUCCCCAAUGACUGUAUAGAAUACUAAGUUUCUUUUAACUCCAGCCAUUACAUGUGAUUUCUUUUAUUCUGUAGUAUUCUAGAGUUGAGGCAGUAAUUUGUGAAUUUAUCUUCUGGGCAAGUCAUCUAUUCUGAACAUGGCAAAUUGUGAUUCUGUUUUCCAUGUUUGUAGCCCAUUACUGCAAACCCCAUAUCUGUAUAUAGACUUGGUUGUUUUCAUUGUCAUAUAAAUUUUAUAUACAUAAUUACGUGUUUUCAUUUCUGACUUUCAAGUUUGAUACUCUCCCUGGUCUGUGAGUCUGUCAGUAUACAACUCAUUUUUGAUCUUCCUGCAUAUUUUUAAUAUUAUUUUUGUUUAACUUAUGAAAUUUUUAUGAAAAUGUACCUUGCAUGUUGCAGGAAUAAUCAUUAAAACACUUGAGUUUUUUCUCCAAAUAGCCUUUCUUAUACAUGACUAUUUUUUUCAGAAAAGUUAUUCAGGUAACAUAUGUCCAAUAUUCUUAGGAAGAGCUUGAAAUAAAAUGAACUAUGUAAUUAGACGUUGUCUCAUGACCACGUACAGAGGUAAUUUCCUACUGAAGUUUGCACAGCUGUUUUUGGAUGAGGUAGUAUAUUGAAGAUAAACAUUAGAAAGUGUUGGGUUUAUUUUUUUCUGGAAUUGUUCCAAAACAUAUUGAUUUGAGAAGCAUUGACUAGAUGGCAAACCCAGUAGAGUUCAUAAGACCACAAUUCACCUUAUUUGCUGACUUCCACAGAGUCGUCCUUUCAGUGAAAAUGUAACUAACAAUUCAUUAUUGAAUUACAAGUCUCUGAGCUUACUUAAACUUACUUAUGUCAUCUGCCUUGGAAAAUACUGUCAUUCUAAUUUUCACAUUUUGCAGAAAGCUACUGACAAAAUUUGAGGAAAGUAAUGACAAAAUAACUCUGGGGACCUUUCAGUUCUUUAAAGGUCUUAUCUCCACUCACUAAUCUUUUAAUCUAGGUACACCAUGGAGAUCAUCAAAUCAAACAGAACAGCUUAUCACUAAAGAAGCAAAAUUCAAAAUCUCAUGUGAAUUCUUUGAGCUCUGUCAGUCCUUUUAACCAUGCCAUUUAAUUGACAUUUUUGCCUGUUAUCUCCUAGCAUCACUGAAAAUAGACUUCUUGCAUAUUUCCACUAUUUACGUCAAAUGUUAGGUCAAAUAAUGUCUAAUAAGCCCUAGAAUGCAUCUUCUCUCAUUUCUUGCUUCAGUGUCUGAAGUUGAUGAGGUUAUUUACAGAAUUAGCCCUAAAUUCUCCAUUUUACUAGUGAAAGAAAUGUUGUCAUCUCUUCCACAAUGUUUCAAUAGCUUUCCAUACUGCCGAAAUCAGAAACUUCUCUGAAGAUGCUGGAUUCUGAUGAAAGCAGGAGAUGGGCUUGGUUUGCGUUUUUCUUCUUGCUACAAUAUCUUACAUCAAGGAACUUAACAUUAUUUUGAAGUAUCUAAAAUCAAUGAUUAAGCCCCUCAGCUUGGUGAAAGAACAUGUUGCUGUACUUUAAUGGUGGGAAAGCCUAUAGUGCCUCUUAUUUAUAGACUGCUCUGUCUGUUUUGUUGUAUGACCAGCAUGUCUGAUGACCAUGUUCAGAGGACUGACUGCAGGUUAUCUGUAAAUAUUUUGUGUAUAUAUAUGUGUAUAAAUGUGUAUCAUGUACUAUUGAAAGUAUAUAUCCCUGUUUAUGUAACAGCUCCUAUAUUACCCAGAGCAGCACCCCUUACAGUAAUUUCAUUUUUUAUUAAUGCCUGCAAACCUUUAGCUGCAGAUGUCUAGAUUCUCUUCCCUCUCAGUAUGUGAGAUACAUCAAUAGAUAUAUUUGUCUUCAAAUCUGAUCUCAAGUAGACUAAGUUUCUCAGUCUGUUUUUUUCAUGUCAGUAUUAUAGUUUAUUUAUCAGAUGAAAAUCCAGAGCCAUCUGCCCCACUGAAUUCAGCUAUGCUGAACUUUUACACUGAAUUGUUUAUUUUAGUAGUACUGGCAUUGCCCACAUUCUGUUGUUGAGGGUGGGGUGUCUAGGCUACUGCACAUUUUGGUAGUUUCCUCCUUCAUCUGUUUUAAACUAAAUAAACAGACCUUUAGCUAAUGUAAAUGUUCUCAGUUUCUACAGCAGAGACAGUCAGCUGUAGCUGAUGUUACAUCCUCCCAUGUAAUCUUUGCCUGUUUUAAAGUCAAGGCACAAGAAGGUAUGGUAUUUUCUUAAACAGGAAAGACGUCUGCCUACUCAAGCCAAAAUGAAAUUGAUUUGAUACUAUCAGGUAGAUUAAGUUGCCUCCCUGUAAAAAGUCUUUAUUCCAAGCAUUUGUAUAUAAUGUCAUUUAAAUCUCCUCACAUGCUCUCAGUAUGCUUUGUAUCAUUGCAGAAGCUUCAGAGAAAACAGUGGAUUUGGCCAGAAGCUCUCUAGACAUCUUUGUUUAGAGCUGCAAGCUGUUAAAAAAGACAAAUUUAUGUACCAGGAGCUGGAGCUUUGCAGUGUGUUAUCCACAUGCAUAUCCUGCAUCCCUUUUUAGUUUCCCACCCCUAUGUCAAAGUCCUUGACACACUAGAAUUCUGCAGUUCAAAAAAAACUGAGAUGGAAAGCAAGUACCAGCCUCUCUACCCUAACUGGAGAAUAGAGAGAACAGCAAGACAGUUGAGCUCUACAGGAAUAUUCUUGUGUUAAACUAACCAGCUGAAGAUUGUGAGGAACUUCUUGCACUGUUAUGUGUAUACACAGGGUUCUGAAGACCUCUAAUUGAUGAUUGUCUUCUUUAUCUCUCCCUGAUGUGGAGCAAUUUUUGUGUGUUCUGGGCAAUCCUGGAUGGGGAACAGCUCAUUCUGCCCACUUUAGGAAGAUCUGGAUACAUUAGUAAGACUUUACAUUUUACUGAAAAUUUUCUUGAAGCUUGGUUCUUGCUGUCUUUCAGAUAUAGUCACCUCGCAGGGAAUAUGGAUGAUGUUUCCCCAGAUAUUCUUUUUUUUUCAUUCUUUUAUUUGCUUGUUUGUUUUUCAAGUAGUGGUUUUAAUUUUUUUAAUGUUUCUUGUUGUGCUAUUCCAUUUCAACAUGAACAUUUUAAGAAUGGGAAUGCCCCAGUCAGACAAUGCUUAUCCCUGAAGCUGGCAUAUGUUCAGAUGCUUUGCAGGUCUGGUGCUCAGCUGUGUACAUCAUCAUUAUGCUUGGAACUAAAAGCCAUUAUAUUGAUUUUUUUUUUUUUUUUUUUUGUCUCCCUUAUUUUUCUGUGUUUCAACUGAACUUAGAAGUCAAAUGUUUUUAGAGAGUGGAAGAUAUCCAGGAAAUUCAAAAUGCUGUCACAAGUUUACAAGUCCCAAGAAUACUUCAGAUAGUUCUAUCUUUAUCUUACUGCUGCACCUCCGAAAAAGCAGAGCAUGAUUGAUGCAUUAAACAUCUAGGGAAGAAAAAAAUUAGCUUCAGUGCCAGUUACACUUGAGACAAAGAGACAAAUGUAUUUUAUUUUCUUUCCAAAUGCUCAAGGCACUUUUUGCUCAAAUGACUUGACUCUUCCAACAAGCAAAGUAUUCAAAAUGAAGUUCCUAAGACACAUGUUUUUAACAAUGGUAACUGGAAGAUUUUUCAUGUCACUGUAUCUUCAUGCCAAGCAUGUCUGUGUUCCAGUCACUCAAAUACAUAGAUUUAUCUAAAAUAAAAAUCAGUUCCAACACACUGCAUUCCCCUUUGGCUUAUCCUUAGCUGCUUGAGUUGUCACAAAAGUCAAAUUAAUAGAGGCAGCUGCAUUUCGUCAAAAUAAAGUUUGUGAUGUUAUUCUUUGAGUACUGACAGGCUGUGCACAUCAACUGCAAUCCGAAGUUCAGAAUGACCCUUAAUUGCUAUGUUUUCUGGGAUGUAUUUUGUUGUAUUAAUUUCUAGGUGAUCUUGCUAUACAAUUUUAGUGUUUCUUUUGCCCUAUUUUUGAAUAAUUUUUAUAUGAGAGCUCUUAUUGAUGCUAUUAAACAGGGUUUUUCCAAAGGCAAAUCGAAGGUUGGCAGAAGACAAAUUCAACUAUUUCCAGCUAACAAAUGACUUCACUGUUUUGUGCCACGGAUUCCUUUCCUUUAUCAUGUUUUUUAAGCUAAGUGGUACUUUCCUCCUAUAAUUUCCAGAAGUUUGACUUUCAGAAGAGAAAAUUGUGAAAAGAGAUGGGCUUACUACCUGUUGGAUGCUCAAGUCAAAUCUACCUGACAUGUAUGCUUUGCCAAUGAUUAUCAUUAAUAUUUGCAUGAAGCAGAAAGUCUUUUCAGACUCCAGCUAUAUUGCUGUUAGACAGAAUGCAAAAACAUUUCACAUCAGUUUUUGUUGUUUUUUCUUUUUCUUCAGCGGUUUGGAAAUUAUGUAACUGCAGUGAUUUUUACCUGGCAGAUUGCAGUAGCUUGAAAAUUAUCUCCUACACUGUGAUGGCACUUGAAUUCUGAAUGAAACACAUGGGCAUGACCUUAAAUAAAAUAAUUUAAGGUGAUUGGGAACUUAGAAUAUGUAUAUAGACUUUUAAUCCAUUCCACCCUUUUCCUUCAACUUUGUAGGCUUUUAUGCCCUCAGAAUAAAAUCUUAAUAGCUCACAUCAUACUAGAUAUGUCAAAUUUUACUGGAGUAAGAGCAAAUACGUGUACUUGGAAUUUCAAGAAGUUAUCUAGUCUGCUUCUUGUCCUAUGUAACAGAAUUGCCUACACCAAAGUGAGCCUGAAAAUUAUCCCCUCAGUCAAUUCAUUACUGUAUCUCAGAAUCUGGUUGUUUACUUCUGUGCACAGAAAUCAUGGAGUACAGACUGACUGCGUCUAUACAUGCAGUAACUACUUUCUUGUUCUCUACAGGAAGCUUUGUUUCUCUUUGUUUCUUCUCAUGUUAAGGAGCAUAGCUCUGUGAAAGAAAGCUAGCUUUGCAGGCAGAAGGACUUGGGUUUUAUCCCUGACAUCUCAAGAGCGCUUUUUCAGCUGAGGGAGGUGCUCUGACCUCAUUUGGCCUCACCUGGAAUGCUGCAUCCAGUUCUGGGGCCCUCAGUAUAGCAGACAUAGACCUGUUAGAACAGGACCAGAGGAGGUUAGAGAACUGGAGAACCUCUCCUGUGAAGACAGGCUGAGGAGAGCUAGGCUUGUUCAGCCUGGAGAAGGAAAGGCUUUGGGAAGACCUCAUCAUGGCCUUUCAGUAUUCAAAGGGAGUUUAUAAACAAGAUGGAGACCAACUUCUUACAUGGUCUGAUAGUGACAGAACAAGGGGAAACGAUUUUAAAUUAAAAGAGGGAAAAUUUAGUAGGUGGAAAUUUUUUACUCAGAAGAUGGUGAGGCACUCGAACAGGUUACCCAGAGAAGUUGUGAAGGCCCUAUUCCUACCAUUCCUGGGGGUGAUCAAGACCAGGCUGGAUGGGGCCCUAGGCAGCCUGUUCUUGUGGGUGUAACUCUCCCCACAGCAAUUGGGUUAGAACUAGGUGGUCUUUAAGGCUGGAAGGUUCUUUCCAACCUUUCAAAAUAUCAUCAAUCUCUGACAAGCCUCUUUGUCGUAUAUCUGUGUCACAUACAAAGAUGAAAAACAGAUUCAUUUUCAAACAAAGAGAAUACAAUAAUUUGAGAAAUAUUCACUUCCCACUUAUCCUUCACAUAAGACUUUAUGAAGAAAACUCUCAAAAGACUUGCCAAUUUGAAAUUUAGCAUGGAUCAUAUGAACCGUAUUACUGAGGUUUAUGACAAAAACAUUGACAUGUUUUGGAAUUUUUAAAGCUUUGGAAGGCAAAAUCUGUAAUUUAGAGCUAUGUUAUAUUUUUAUGGUUUGUGAUUGAUUAGCAUUCCUCAAAAGACAGGAAAAAGACCAUUUAAUGAUGUUGCAUCUAUUUUAAGAUGAAUACAUUUUCUUAAUAUAUAGUUUGAAUACAGUAGAAUAUGGCUUAACCUUGAAUGUUGAAACUGAAGGUUUUGUACUUUCUAGCUGUGCCUUGAAAACAGUCUUCAUCUUCUCUUUGAAGUUUUUUGUGGGUUUUUUAGUUUUUUUCUUCCUGGAAGUUGUCAGUACUGUACUGAUGUUAGUGAUCCGUAAGUAUACCAGAAUAUUCAGAAAUUCAUUAUGAACUUUAAUAGUAUUUGUAAGGAUGACUAAGAAAAGCUCCUUGGCCUGUUGAUACUUGAAUAGCAUUAACAGAAUCCAGCCUUGUCUGAUUAGACAAAUUGCUGCCUAGAAUAGUUCAGUCUGCUUUUUGCAGUUGACAUCUAAAAGAUAACAGAAAAAUAGGAAAGGCAGUAUGCAUGUUUUUAGUUCUUUUUCAUUCUGCUGAUGAUUGAAAGUGUACAUUUUGUUUCUUCCACUGCUGAUUUCUCAGACAUUUAAUUAAUAAGUUCCAAGCAUGAGCUAAACGUGAAUAAUCCUAGAAGGAAAACGUUGUCUUCUACCUAAUAAGCCCUACAUAAUUUUUAAUGAUUCCAGGUCUGACAAAAGUCACCCAGCUUUUCCACGUGUCUGACCAUUUUUCUUACAAAAUGUGUAAGUUUUAUCAGUCAUUAUUUUAAAGACACAAGAUGAUACCUCUGGAAGAAAAUUUGUUCUUUGGUAGAUAACUCUUUCUGUUAGUCUUGCUUAAUCCUGAAGUCUGAUUUCAGGCACUCUGUUUUGAUAGUUUUCCAUCAAAUUAUACAAUAAUAAUGCUUCAUAUCUAAUUGAAUCCAAAAUUAUUUUAUAUAUUGAAAGGAAUUAAUAGUAAUAUUAGAACAGUUAAUUAUUAGUAACAUUAGAACAGUUAAUUAUGUAGCAAGUAAUGUUAUCAGUGUUAAAGUUCAGAUUCUUGAAUGGGGCUAACACAUUAAUAUUCAGUAAAGAAACUGAACUUCUGCAGUUCAACUCCUAAAUCAAAUAAAUUGUUCAUUUUGAUCCAUUUUUGUUGGGGUGUUUUCCUAAACUCUUAACCUUAAUCAACUUCUGCUUUACAGUCAGUGGACAGCUCAGCCCAUUAUCUUUGCACCAUUCAACCUGUCAGAAUUUAUUAGCUUGCCAUCGACAGAGAACUCCCUGUACAACCAAUUGCUUGUUAAUUCUUCUUCAGCAAACUCUGAGGAAUUUUGUUAAAGAGCCAUUUUAAGCAAAGUAUUUGAUUUAUACUUCCUUUGGCAACAUUUAGGCAAAGGUUCAACAAACAUCAGAUUUUUACAGAUUACCCGAGCUUGGUAAAAUUUUAUGCUUCUCAAGUAUUUGAAAGUAAUCCAUUAGCAGUGAUUUUGGCAGUGGGUAAAUACCACGAUAAAAAUAAUACUUUGCGAUUAUUGCAUUGAACGUUGUUUAGAACCUUUUCCCCCUUAGGGUGAUUAUCUUCAUUAAAAUACACUAAAAAUAAAAUGAUGCAGCAUCUUUCAGUUUACAAAUUCUGUAACAGACAUUGUUUGAUGUACAUAGAACACAUUUUUCUGAGAUUGCUAUGGGCACUGAAACCUUCCUCUAUUGGAAUAUAAUUUCUUCCUUUUUAAGCCUGACACACUUUUGCUAGAUUGUCUCCACUGGAAUUACCACUAUCCUCCUUAAUUGAAAAUUUGCUAUUUGAUUUCAUUUUUGUACUGCAAUGCUACACAUUUUAAACAAUAAAAAUAUUCAGAAUUGUUUUUAAAUUUAGCUCCAAAUCAGCUCUAAAAAUUGUGAAUCUUUUCUUGUGGGAGUUUUAUCAAAGGAAUAGGCACAAAAACUGGCAGUUACAAAUAUUUAAAGUAUAAGUAAUAUGUUUUGGAGUUUGAAGAGCAGUGUAGAAAUCUUAUCUUGCACUCUGUUUACUUUUGAUUUCAAACUCUCCAAUCUAUGUCUGUUUUUUGUUUGUUUGUUUGUUUUUAACUAAGAGUGGGUGUUUAGCACUAAUUUUCUUUUAUCUAUGAUUUAUACCAUAGUUGCUCUCUUUUUUUGGAAUGUCACUCAUGUAUUCUGCUGUAGGAUACCAGCUAAACUACUUCUGUUAGGAGUAUACUGUCAGAGACCUCUGUAAUAUCAAUGGAUGCACCUCAAGAAAGCUUGUCAGCUGAGACCGAAUUCUCCAUUGUUUUUACAGUGUCUCAGAGGUUCAUAAAAGUGUCAAAGAAAUGGUUAACAGUAAUGGGUACUGUUAUGAUUGUUAAGCACUGGAAUAGGCUCCCCAGGGAGGUGGUUGUCACCAUCCCUGGAUGUGUUUAAAAACCAUUUGGAUGUGGUGCUCAGGGACAUGAUUUAGCAGAGAGUUGUUAGUUAGGGUAGUAUGGUUAGGUUGUGGUUGGACUUGAUGAUCUUUAAGGUCUUUUCCAACCUGAGCAAUUCUAUGAUUCUAUGAUUUAUGACUUUUCUCAGAGUCACUGUUUUUCAUUAAGCUGGCUGAAAGUGGAUCCAUUCUACUAGGAUCUACCUUUGAUUUUUCAUUUUAUUACUGAAAUAAUCAUGCUUUUAAAAAACAUGGCAUGUUUGUAUCACUGAGAGAAAGAUGAAGACCUAUUAUAAUAGAGAAGGAACAAGGUAAGAGUUUUCAUUAAAAAGGUAGGAAGUUUUGAUUUUCUUACUACUGUAUGGGACCUCCUUACAAAGAUAAUAGAAGCCAGAGUAAUGAAUAUUAGAGAUGUGAGUUGGAGCAGAGGUACAGAGUGACAAAGGAGUGAAAGACACAAUGGUUGUUAGUGUAGAACUACUGAUGAUAUAUGGUAAAGGAUUGAAGCAUCUGUGAGCUCUUUUUAUGAAGGCAAGAAAGAUAAGCAACUGGAAAAUUCCCAAACAGUAGAAUGAUUCCCUGAUGAAAAGGGAGUCCUACUAAGAGAACAUCUCUGAAACAAGUGAAGAAUAAAACUGUCACAUACAUCUAAAUAAAUGAAGUUCCCAAAUAAAAAUGUGUCUAGAAUUAAAAUAUACCAGAAUGGUCAGGAAAAUGCUUAAGUGUAGAGAUUACUCUGUUUUUUUAAAAGAAGAUAUUAUUGGCACUUUAUUUUCAAUGGGCAGAAACCAAUGGAAAGAUUUGGAAGGUGGAAAGUAAACCUCAGUGAUGAAUAUUAAGUUAAGAAGAACAAAGUUAUAUUUGGAAACAGAAAAUAAGGAACUUUUAGGAGGUCCUGUGAUUUUUUCUCCAAGAAAUAAUGAGACCUGUAAAAUUACUAAGAGGAGAGUAAAGUGCAAAAUGAAAGACAGUCUUCAAGAAAAUCAAGUUAUUAAGAACAAAAAAAUCCAGAAGAGUAAUUACUUGCUUCAGAAAGUAGAAUGAAGAUGUGUCAGAAACUUUGGAAAGCUGCAAAAAUUGUUUAUUUUUACUCUAAUUUUUAAAAUGAUUUAGUGAACAAACAAACAGAAAACAAUCCACCACUACUGAAAAAAACCUACCAACAAACAACCUGAAGCUAGCAUUCUAUUAUUUUUCACCACCAGAAUUAUAUGUGCAAACUUUACAGAUCAAGGUAAAGAGUUGCCAGAGCAUCCAGUUUAUAAAUAAAUGUUUCUAACUGUAGAAUAAUGUCAUGGUUUUAUGAUUUUUUUGUUAUCGAUAUUCCACAUCAUAACAUCAUGUAGAACACUGGGAGUUAAAGAGUUAAUGCUCCAGUUCCUUGGAUCUUGGAUACUUCCAGGUACCUGGAUCUCAGAAGAGAAGAAGAACUACAUACUACGUACCCCAGAGGACUUUGCGUUGUUCUGUUUCCAUUUUCCAUUUGUAGGGAAAGAUAAAACUGUUUGCAGAUCACGAGAAGUGCCCCUCUCUUCUUCCCUUUCUGCUCAUCCCAGCAGCGUGCAUGCUCAUCUUCAGCAUUAGAGUAAGGCCUUCUGGUUGGUUGGUUGGUUGGUU
Molecule: long non-coding RNA, 19489 nt
Organism: Gallus gallus (chicken)
Lineage: Eukaryota; Metazoa; Chordata; Aves; Galliformes; Phasianidae
Exons: 2
Source: RefSeq, a predicted model, not a curated record